This 95-nucleotide microRNA precursor is filed under the name Guillardia theta CCMP2712. Its description in RNAcentral is "microRNA mir-598". The record is from RNAcentral. Lineage: Eukaryota; Cryptophyceae; Pyrenomonadales; Geminigeraceae.
UGAUGAUGAUGAUGAUGAUGAUGAUGAUGAUGAUGAUGAUGAUGAUGAUGCUGAGGUCAUGAUGAUGAUCAUGAUCAUGAUCAUGAUCAUGAUGA